Molecule: ribosomal RNA, 467 nt
Filed under: uncultured bacterium
Lineage: Bacteria
Description: partial 16S ribosomal RNA
Rfam family: Bacterial small subunit ribosomal RNA
Source: RNAcentral
GACGAACGCUGGCGGCGUGCUUAACACAUGCAAGUCGAACGGAAAGGCCCUGCUUUUGUGGGGUGCUCGAGUGGCGAACGGGUGAGUAACACGUGAGUAACCUGCCCUUGACUUUGGGAUAACUUCAGGAAACUGGGGCUAAUACCGGAUAGGAGCUCCUGCUGCAUGGUGGGGGUUGGAAAGUUUCGGCGGUUGGGGAUGGACUCGCGGCUUAUCAGCUUGUUGGUGGGGUAGUGGCUUACCAAGGCUUUGACGGGUAGCCGGCCUGGGAGGGUGACCGGCCACAGUGGGACUGGGGUACGGCCCAGACUCCUACGGGGGGCAGGAGUGGGGAAUAUUGCACGAUGGGCGGAAGCCUGAUGCAGCAACGCCGCGUGCGGGAGGACGGCCUUCGGGUUGUAAACCGCUUUCGCCUGUGACGAAGCGUGAGUGACGGUAAUGGGUAAAGAAGCACCGGCUAACUACGU